Molecule: non-coding RNA, 2477 nt
Organism: Procambarus clarkii (red swamp crayfish)
Lineage: Eukaryota; Metazoa; Arthropoda; Malacostraca; Decapoda; Cambaridae
Source: RefSeq, a predicted model, not a curated record
UACAUGUGUAGAUGUACAGUAAUCUACAGAUGCACAUGUGUAGAUGUACAGUAAUCUACAGAUGUACAGUAAUCUACAGAUGUACAGUAAUCUACAGAUGUACAGUAAUCUACUGAUGUAGAGGCACAGUAAUCUACAAAUGUACAUGUGUAGAUGUACAGUAAUCUACAGAUGUACAAGUGUUGAUGUACAGUAAUCAACUGAUGUACACGUGUAGAUGUACAGUAAUCUACAGAUGUACAUGUGUAGAUGUACAGUAAUCUACUGAUGUAGAGGCACAGUAAUCUACAAAUGUACAUGUGUAGAUGUACAGUAAUCUACAGAUGUACAUGUGUAGAUGUACAGUAAUCUACAGAUGUACAUGUGUAGAUGUACAGUAAUCUACAGAUGUACAUGUGUAGAUGUACAGUAAUCUACAGAUUUACAUGUGUAGAUUUACAGUAAUCUACUGAUGUACAUGUGUAGAUGCACAGUAAUCUACAGAUGUACAUGUGUAGAUGUACAGUAAUCUACAGAUGUACAUGUGUAGAUGUACAGUAAUCUACUGAUGUACAUGUGUAGAUGUACAGUAAUUUACAGAUGUACAUGUGUAGAUGUCCAAUAAUCUACAGAUGUACAAGUGUAGAUGUACUGUAAUCUACAGAUGUGCAUGUGUAGAUGUACAAUAAUCUACAGAUGUACAUGUGUAGAUGUACAGUAAUCUACAGAUGUACAUAACAUUGAGACCAAUGUCCUCCUACACACGAGGACCUCGCUGGAACUCUUACCACUGACGGGUUUAUCAAAGUUUUAUCACAAGUUGGGUUUAGUUAAACAUACAACAAGACCGUGUGUAUGUUUGUGGUUUGUAUAAGUUUUUGUGUGUUGGUUGUAUGAUAAAUAUAUCCAAAGGUUACUUGAUCAACCAGGCUGUGACUUUAGGCUGUGAGCAGACGUGUCUAACAGCCUGGAUGACCAGAGCAGCAGCCAGGAGACAUGGUCGGUGACCAGACCAGGAGACAUGGUCGGUGACCAGACCAGCAGCCAGGAGACAUGGUCGGUGACCAGACCAGCAGCCAGGAGACAUGGUCGGAGACCAGGGGUCAUGGUCCCCAGAACGACCAACUGGUAGACUACAAGUGGGUGGUAUGAAUGUGUAUGAUGGUGGAUUAAAGGAUCUCUUGUGUCGGCGAUGAGUCACAAUAACGUGGCUAAAUUAUGUUGACCAGACCAUUCUCAAGUCGAUUGUCACAAUCGACUUGAGAAUGGUCCAGGACGGACCGAAACGUCGUCGUCCCUUCACCUUCUAGUGUGUGGUCUGGUCAACAAAUUUCUUGUGUCCAUUGUAAGAAUGAGUUUUUAUGCUGUAGUAUUAAUGAGCUUUGGUACGCAAGUGGUAUGGAUGGGUUUUGUUAUAUUAAUGAUAUAAAUAAUUUGUUUAUACUGGAUAUAUGAACAGAUAUGGUAUGCUGAUGGCAUGAAUAUGUUUUAGUAUGCUGGAGGUAUGAGUGAGUUUUAGUAUGCUGGAGAUACCUUCCUUGAGGUUGUUUCGGGGCUUAGCGUCCCCGCGGCCCGGCCUCUUCAUUGCUGGACUGGUCAACCAGGCUACUGGACGCCGCUGCUCGCAGCCUGACAUAUGACUCACAACCUCGUUGAUCAGGUAUCCUCUGGAUACCUGAUCCUCCAGGUAUCUCGAGUGUUCAUGAGUGUUCUGUCAUGAACACUGUGAGAGGUUGGCCAGUUAUGCCCCUUAUGUGUACUGAAAUAGUAUAAAUAUAGUGGAAGGGAUAGAUAAGCAGCCUUCCAGUCUGUAGUGGAAGGUAUAAAUAAGCAUUUGUUUGCUGAUUUUAUGAAUAAGUUUUGGUAUGAACUUGAUAUAUUUGAAUUUUCUACACUUUAUUAUCAAUAUGACUUUAUUUACUAUUGUUUAUUGAAUCGCUAUUAUUAGUCUUGGCUCUUUAUUUGUUAAGGGAUCUUAGUUAUUGUAACAUUUUAUUAAGGAUUUUAGGCAUUGAGAAUUUUUGUCUGACUUUUAGGCUGCCUUAACCUUAUUAUCAUCAAGAUUAAGCAGGAGCAUAUAUACAUCUUUGAUAUUUUAAGUUGCUUAAUGUACAACUAAAUACAGUAAGUUGCCUAUUGCAAUUUACCAUAAUGCAUUAAGCAGCUUACUGUAUAUAUGUUUUUUAGUAUUAUCAGUAUUCUUUUGUAAAUUUGCUCUAAUACAGUAGCUAGCUUUUGGGCACUUACUUUAUUACAGUAAUUAACGUACUGUACAAGAUAUUUCAUACAGUAUGCAGCUUACUGUUCAAGUAGUUUAAUACAGCAAGUGUCCUUCUGCACACUUAAAUGUAUAAUUACUUUAGUAAAGAAACUGCAAUAUGUACACCUCCUUUGAUACAGUAAGUAGUACUGUACUAUAUUUUUUAUAGUUCAGUACUGCAAGUAUUAAAGUAAAUACAUGCAUUAUCUGAAAUAAAGUAACAUAUAAGUUUAAACAA